GCCCCAAUAGCUCAAUGGAUAGAGCAAGGCUCUCCUAAAGCCGAGAUCUGGGUUCGAGUCCCGGUUGGGGUA
Molecule: transfer RNA, 72 nt
Filed under: Chloroflexota bacterium
Lineage: Bacteria; Bacillati; Chloroflexota
Also listed under: 2 other names
Description: Chloroflexi bacterium tRNA-Arg
Rfam family: tRNA
About the family: Transfer RNA (tRNA) molecules are approximately 80 nucleotides in length. Their secondary structure includes four short double-helical elements and three loops (D, anti-codon, and T loops).
Source: RNAcentral